CCUACGGGAGGCAGCAGUAGGGAAUCUUUCACAAUGGGCGAAAGCCUGAUGGAGCAACGCCGCGUGCAGGAUGAAGGCCUUCGGGUUGUAAACUGCUUUUAUAAGCGAGAAAUAUGAUGGUAACUUAUGAAUAAGGAUCGGCUAACUACGUGCCAGCAGCCGCGGUCAUACGUAGGAUCCGAGCAUUAUCCGGAGUGACUGGGUGUAAAGAGUUGCGUAGGUGGCAUAAUAAGUAGCUAGUGAAAUCUGGUGGCUCAACCAUUCAGACUAUUAGCUAAACUGUUAAGCUCGAGACCGUUAGGGGUAACUGGAAUUUCUAGUGUAGGAGUGAAAUCCGUAGAUAUUAGAAGGAACACCAGUAGCGUAGGCAGGUUGCUGGGACGGUUCUGACACUAAGGCACGAAAGCGUAGGGAGCAAACGGGAUUAGAUACCCGAGUAGUC
Molecule: ribosomal RNA, 442 nt
Filed under: uncultured bacterium
Lineage: Bacteria
Description: partial 16S ribosomal RNA
Rfam family: Bacterial small subunit ribosomal RNA
Source: RNAcentral